RNAcentral lists this ribosomal RNA (275 nucleotides) under uncultured bacterium. Its description in RNAcentral is "partial 16S ribosomal RNA". It matches the Rfam family "Bacterial small subunit ribosomal RNA", at positions 28 to 288 of the family's 1533-position model. The record is from RNAcentral.
GACGAACGCUGGCGGCGUGCCUAACACAUGCAAGUCGUGCGAGAAAGUUCCUUCGGGAGCGAGUAAAGCGGCGCACGGGUGAGUAACACGUAGGUAACCUGCCCCCCAGUCUGGAACAACUAGAGGAAACUCUAGCUAAUGCCGGAUGAGACCACGAUCCCUUCGGGGGUUGCGGCCAAAGAUGGCCUCUACUUGUAAGCUAUCGCUGAGGGAUGGGCCUGCGGCCAUUAGCUUGUUGGUGAGGUAACGGCUCACCAAGGCUGUGAUGGCUAGCU